RNAcentral lists this small nucleolar RNA (73 nucleotides) under Fukomys damarensis (Damara mole-rat). RNAcentral describes it as "Small nucleolar RNA SNORA25 (ENSFDAG00000003832.1)". The record is from RNAcentral. Lineage: Eukaryota; Metazoa; Chordata; Mammalia; Rodentia; Bathyergidae.
AAGUAAAGAUUGAAGCUCUCCAUAGUAUGCUUUAGUCAUUCAGUAGUCUAUGCUUUCCUAAGGAGAUGUAAGA